RNA transcript from Balaenoptera ricei (Rice's whale), 2299 nucleotides. It is a transcript of the gene named mucin 20, cell surface associated, with no coding region annotated. The record is from RefSeq and is a predicted model, not a curated record. NCBI's taxonomy places the organism in Eukaryota, Metazoa, Chordata, Mammalia, Artiodactyla, Balaenopteridae. The transcript is spliced from 5 exons.
GGAAACUACCCAGCCACACCUAGGCAGGUGGCCCGCCCCUCCUCCGCGGGUUGAGCAAGCAGGAAAAGGUGGCAGCAAGAGGCAGUGGGCAGAUGUGCUGGGCAAUGGUGGCCGGAGCCCAAGCUAGGAUGGGCUUUCUCUGGGGCCUGGCUCUGCCCCUUUUCUUCUUCUGCUGGGUGGCUGGUGCUCCCAGGAGCUCUGCAGGCCCCAGCACCAGUGGAUCAGGCCACACAGAAGUGCCUGCUGUGACUCCAGGGGUCAGGACGAGCUCAGAGGGAGUCUUCCAGAACACUGACCUCACUGAGACCUCUAUGUCGAACCAUAUCUCUUUGGAAACUCAAACCCUAAGCACCCAGACCUCUGAUAGGACCUUCCUCCCAGACAGCACCAUUUCAGUAGCAGAGAACAGGGAAAACAAGACCAUGGCCCUCAUAAAAAUAAUGCCUUCCAAGUCCUCGGCUGUGAUCACCACUCUUAUGGAGACAUCAGCCACAAGUGGCAGCCCCACGGGACGUGGAAUGACCACAGUUGAGACCGUCACAGGCACUGAGCUCUUGAAAGCCGCCUUUGACACCCUUUGCAAACUUGGCAGCUCUGAAGAGGCAAAGAGAAUAAUGGUAGACUUCUUGAAAUUAGCUCACACCUCUACAGAAGCCGAGGCCUUGUCCUCGGAGAGCAGCGCUUCCUCUGACAGCUCAGUUCCAGCCAUCACCACCUCACAAGCCCUGUCACCUGACAUUGCUGCUCUGGUUAAAGCCUUGGUUACCUCCAGCAUCAGCAACAUUGAGGUGAUCAACUGCAGUGUUAUAGAAAUAGAAGCAACUGCCAGCAUCCCUGGGACCUCAGACAUAGAUCACAGCCCCACGGGAGGAAAGGCCCUGUCUACCCCUGAGACAUCAGCUUUGCCUGACUCCACUGAAGUAAAAUCACACCUCGCCAGGACCACAACCUCUGCUGAGACCUUGUCAACAGCCAGCGCCACAGAAUCAGCCACACCUGACAUCACACUCACCAUCAAUAGCACCACAGAAAUGGAAACAACAGCAGCCAAGGCCACGGCCCCCAGUGGAACCUUGGUGACAGUUAGCAUGAACCUCUUGGAAGAAAACUCAUCCCUCUCUGUUGAGACAACAAGCCACACCGAGGUCUCAGGAGAAGUUACAAUCUCCACAGGGACUGCAUCAACAGCAGGCAAGGUGACUUCCCCUGCUAGGUUCUCAGCUACGGUCUACAGCCUCUCUGAAGUAACUACCAUCAUGAGCUCCACCCCCUCAGAGACUUCUACCACAGACAUCACAUUCAGUGCGCCCGUUCCCAACAGCAGGAGCCCACUUCCCUCUGUCCAUCUGGCUACGGCCAACAGCAGCCAAGAAACAAACAUCACCUUAGCUAAGACCACAGCCUCAGCAAAGGCCUUGAAGAUAGCCAGCACAGCUGGAGGGAAACCCUCAACAGCCACGCCCACCAGUGCUCAGACAAGUCUGACAGAUGUUACUGCAGGUGAGGAUGGAGGCUUCCUCCUCCUGAGGCUGAGCGUGGCCUCCCCAGAAGACCUCACUGCCCGCAGAGUGGCAGAGAGGUUGAUGCAGCAGCCACAGAACCUAGCACAGAGCCACGGAGGGCACUCAAAUGUUUGCUGAAUGACUUAGAGGACGGGCUGUGUGAGCAGAUGACCAUGAAAUAUGGGCACUGAGCUCUGAAAGACAAAGGUGGGCGUGGACCUAAACAAGACAACCUGUCUAAAGUCUCCUGUGACUCAGCACAGACUCAGAAGGCAAAAACGCAAGGCCAUGAUGAGGACAGCGUGAAGUGGAACUUUUCUGACAAGAGGCUUCAACUGAAGCUUCUGCACAGCCCAUCCUUCCUUCAUCCCUUGUGAGGGGGACUGGCCACCAGUUAGUGGAAAGCAGUGAAUGGUAACUAAUCCCAUGAGUGCACCACAAAUUGAAGUGAGUGGGCACGUUUUUUGGUAUCAAUAAAUAAGUACAUUGGUAUAUCAUACCAGUGCUCGGUUAUGCAUCAUCCUGGUCAUUAAAAGCUGGCCCAGGGCUUCCCUGGUGGCGCAGUGGUUGAGAAUCUGCCUGCCAAUGCAGGGGACACGGGUUCAAGCCCUGGUCUGGGAAGAUCCCACAUGCCGCGGAGCAACUAGGCCCAUGAGCCUCAACUACUGAGCCUGCGCGUCUGGAGCCUGUGCUCCGCAACAAGAGAGGCCGCGACAGUGAGAGGCCAGCGCACCGCGAUGAAGAGUGGCCCCCGCUCGCCGCAACUAGAGAAAGCCCUCGCACAGAAAUGAAGACCC